GGCUGGUCUGAUGGUGCUGGGUUAUCAGAACUUAUUAACAUUAGUGUCACUAAAGUUGGUAUACAAUCCCCCACUGCUAAAUUUGACUGGCUUUUA
This 96-nucleotide Y RNA is filed under the name Saimiri boliviensis boliviensis (Bolivian squirrel monkey). RNAcentral describes it as "Y RNA (ENSSBOG00000006530.1)". It matches the Rfam family "Y RNA". From Rfam's summary of the family: Y RNAs are components of the Ro ribonucleoprotein particle (Ro RNP), in association with Ro60 and La proteins. The Y RNAs and Ro60 and La proteins are well conserved, but the function of the Ro RNP is not known. Lineage: Eukaryota; Metazoa; Chordata; Mammalia; Primates; Cebidae. The record is from Rfam by way of RNAcentral.